AUGAUGCAAUGCGAAAAGUUCCCUGUAAUUCCAAAUGAAUAGACAAGAGUAGACAAGUGAACGAUAUAGUUAUAAAGGAACCAUAAUGAACUCUUUUACAUAAAUGGAAAAAGUUGUUCAAGGUGCAAGGCAUACAAAGUACCUAAGGUCUAGACACAGGGAAAAAACACAUGCCAUGGCAUGUGAGAUUAGCCAAAAUUGUUGCCAAUGUCAAUAGUUAAAGAUAAAAUUGAUAAAAUUAAAAAGGAAAUAUUAGGAACUUUUUUGGUAAUUUGACCAAAAAGAGAAAUAGCAAGACUUACCUGAAAUACCCUUUAAAUUAUUUCCAUAUUCCCAUUAGAAUAAGCACACUAUUGCUCAAUAAUACAGUGGACAAAAAAAAAUCUGAAUUGGUUGAUUGGUACUAAAGGAGAUGUAGACUAACAUGUGAGUCACAUUUGGAUAGAGAAAGGGGAAAAAAAAAAAAAGGGAGAAGAUUAUAGAAAGUAUCCAUAAUAUUUGAACGAUGAUAUCGGAAUUUAAUGUUGUAUGCUAAGUGUGUUUCUUAAUGUGACUGAUAUGGAUUAUGGAGUACCCAAAGCAUUCAAUUGCCUACUAUCUGAUUCUGAGUUACAAGAUACAUUUUCAUCCAAGAAUCAGAUUAUCACCAAGAAAGGCCCUCCUUGUAUUUCUCUCUUUUGAAAGAGGAGAAAAAAAUCAUAACCUAUUUUGCAAUCAAAAGGUCCAAAAACAACUAUAAAUAGGCCAAGGCAGACACCUAAUACCUUCACAUCUCAACAUUUUUAGGAGGGACCUCUAAAAUGAACAGGUCUCCUAUACAAGUGCAUCUGCUUCAUUUUAAACAAAU
This 847-nucleotide unclassified non-coding RNA is filed under the name Hevea brasiliensis (rubber tree). The record is from RNAcentral. Lineage: Eukaryota; Viridiplantae; Streptophyta; Magnoliopsida; Malpighiales; Euphorbiaceae.